UACGUAGGGUGCGAGCGUUAAUCGGAAUUACUGGGCGUAAAGCGUGCGCAGGCGGUUUUGUAAGCCAGAUGUGAAAUCCUCGGGCUUAACCUGGGAAUGGCAUUUGGGACUGCAAGGCUCGAGUGCGGCAGAGGAGACUGGAAUUCCUGGUGUAGCAGUGAAAUGCGUAGAUAUCAGGAGGAACACCGAUGGCGAAGGCAGGUCUCUGGGCUGACACUGACGCUCAUGCACGAAAGCGUGGGGAGCAAACAGG
Molecule: ribosomal RNA, 253 nt
Filed under: uncultured bacterium
Lineage: Bacteria
Description: partial 16S ribosomal RNA
Rfam family: Bacterial small subunit ribosomal RNA
Source: RNAcentral